RNAcentral lists this small nuclear RNA (269 nucleotides) under Erinaceus europaeus (western European hedgehog). RNAcentral's name for it is "7SK RNA". It matches the Rfam family "7SK RNA". From Rfam's summary of the family: 7SK was discovered as an abundant small nuclear RNA in the mid-70s but a possible function has only recently been suggested. Two independent studies have found that 7SK RNA binds the CDK9/cyclin T complex (known as elongation factor P-TEFb). Lineage: Eukaryota; Metazoa; Chordata; Mammalia; Eulipotyphla; Erinaceidae. The record is from Rfam by way of RNAcentral.
GGCUGUGACGGUGAUCUGGGUGCUGUAUCUGUUACUCCAAUGAUUGCUAAGGAUGAGAGUGUCCCCUUUCUCCCUCGCCACCCCACGUAUGUCCCUCCUACAACAUGCUUGGUAGAAGAUGACCUUUCCUGAAGAGACAGACAGGCCUUUGAUUGAGGGUAUACCAGAAGCUAUGCUUCCUUGCCAGAACCUCUACAUAAGCUCUCAAGGUGACUAUAUCCCAGCAGCCUCCAUUCUCCUCAUUUCUGAGACUCAGACUGGUUAAUUUG